GAUGAACGCUGGCGGCGUGCCUAAUACAUGCAAGUCGAGCGAACAGACGAGGAGCUUGCUCCUCUGACGUUAGCGGCGGACGGGUGAGUAACACGUGGAUAACCUACCUAUAAGACUGGGAUAACUUCGGGAAACCGGAGCUAAUACCGGAUAAUAUAUUGAACCGCAUGGUUCAAUAGUGAAAGACGGUUUUGCUGUCACUUAUAGAUGGAUCCGCGCCGCAUUAGCUAGUUGGUAAGGUAACGGCUUACCAAGGCAACGAUGCGUAGCCGACCUGAGAGGGUGAUCGGCCACACUGGAACUGAGACACGGUCCAGACUCCUACGGGAGGCAGCAGUAGGGAAUCUUCGGCAAUGGGCGAAAGCUUGACGGAGCAACGCCGCGUGAGUGAUGAAGGUCUUCGGAUCGUAAAGCUCUGUUAUUAGGGAAGAACAAAUGUGUAAGUAACUAUGCACGUCUUGACGGUACCUAAUCAGAAAGCAACGGCUAACUACGUG
This 497-nucleotide ribosomal RNA is filed under the name uncultured bacterium. RNAcentral describes it as "partial 16S ribosomal RNA". It matches the Rfam family "Bacterial small subunit ribosomal RNA", at positions 28 to 507 of the family's 1533-position model. The record is from RNAcentral.